GACGAACGCUGGCGGCAUGCUUAACACAUGCAAGUCGAACGGCAAGGCCCUGCUUUUGUGGGGUGCUCGAGUGGCGAACGGGUGAGUAACACGUGAGUAACCUGCCCUUGACUUUGGGAUAACUUCAGGAAACUGGGGCUAAUACCGGAUAGGAGCUCCUGCUGCAUGGUGGGGGUUGGAAAGUUUCGGCGGUUGGGGGUGGACUCGCGGCGUAUCAGCUUGUAGGUGUGGUAGUGGCCUACCAAGGCUUUGACAGGUGGCCGGCCUGAGAGGGUGACCGGCCACACUGCGACGGAGCUACGGCCCAGACUCCUACGGGAGGCAGCAGUGCGGAAGAUUGCACAAUGGGCGGAAGCCUGAUGCAGCAACGCCGCGUGGGGGAUGACGGCCUGCGGGUUGUAUACCGCUGUCGCCUGUUACGAAGCGUUAGUGGCGGUAAUGGGUAAAGAAGCACCGGCUAACUACGUG
Molecule: ribosomal RNA, 468 nt
Filed under: uncultured bacterium
Lineage: Bacteria
Description: partial 16S ribosomal RNA
Rfam family: Bacterial small subunit ribosomal RNA
Source: RNAcentral